Molecule: long non-coding RNA, 534 nt
Filed under: Equus asinus (donkey)
Lineage: Eukaryota; Metazoa; Chordata; Mammalia; Perissodactyla; Equidae
Description: lncRNA (ENSEASG00005033016.1)
Source: RNAcentral
GGCGAGCUGGGCGGGGCGCACGGCGCGCCGGGAAUUUGAGGACGCUCUGGCAGCUGGUCGGGCGGCUGAGUUCGCUUGGGUUUAUCUUCAAGGAAGUCAGAACAUCUGGAAGGCCAUCGAUGUCUUCAACUUCAAGCUCCUCAAAGUUAUCAAUCUCAUCACCAAAUGGUAUUUAAUAGACACCAUUAUAUCACUGACACUUCAGCUUCUGAUACGGGAGCAAAGGGAAUUGGAGUGGAUAUACAGCAAUCUAUCCAGCAAAGCUGCAGUUGUAUAAACAUGAUGUAACACAGGCAAAAAAAAAAAUCUUUGGAUUGAUAAGGCAUGAAAAAAGGAUGAUCAUAGUGAGGAAUGUGAGAAAGAAUACAGAACUGGGAACGGAGAUAUUUGGGAACAGAUAUUGCCUACCAUGCCGCAGACAGAAGGCUGAAGCUUUUCACCUAUAGUUCUCAUUCAGUCCUCCAAACAAAUCUGCAAAGUUGAUGGCAACUCCAUAAAGAUUAAAAAACAACAGCAAACUUAACCUCACAGAAU